AGCGAACGCUGGCGGCAGGCCUAACACAUGCAAGUCGAACGAACUCUUCGGAGUUAGUGGCGGAUGGGUGAGUCACACGUCGGAACGUGCCUUUUGGUUUGGAAUAACUCUGGGACACUUGUGCUAACAUCGAAUGUGCUCUUCGGGGGAAAGAUAUAUCGCACUUAGAGCGGCACGCGUGUGAUUAGCUGGUUGGUGAGGUAACGGCUCAUGACGGCGACGAUCAGUAGCUGGGCAGAGAGAAUGGGCAGCCACUCUUCGGCGCGGACGCGGCCGGGACUCCUACGGAAUGCGGGAAAGGCUGAUCUAGCGCAAUGGGCGAAGGCCUGACGCAGCCAGGCCGGUAGAAUGAUGAAGUUCUGAGGAAAGAAAAGUUCUUUCACCGGGGACUGCAAUGACGGUACCCGAAGAAGAAGCCCCGGCUAACUUCGUG
Molecule: ribosomal RNA, 433 nt
Filed under: uncultured bacterium
Lineage: Bacteria
Description: partial 16S ribosomal RNA
Rfam family: Bacterial small subunit ribosomal RNA
Source: RNAcentral